Molecule: ribosomal RNA, 432 nt
Filed under: uncultured Alphaproteobacteria bacterium
Lineage: Bacteria; Pseudomonadati; Pseudomonadota; Alphaproteobacteria
Description: bacterial SSU rRNA
Rfam family: Bacterial small subunit ribosomal RNA
Source: RNAcentral
AACGAACGCUGGCGGCAGGCCUAACACAUGCAAGUCGAGCGCGCCCUUCGGGGUGAGCGGCGGACGGGUUAGUAACGCGUGGGAAUAUGCCCAAAGGUACGGAAUAGCCUCUGGAAACGGAGAGUAAUACCGUAUGUGCCCUUCGGGGGAAAGAUUUAUCGCCUUUGGAUUAGCCCGCGUUAGAUUAGGUAGUUGGUGGGGUAAUGGCCUACCAAGCCUACGAUCUAUAGCUGGUUUUAGAGGAUGAUCAGCAACACUGGGACUGAGACACGGCCCAGACUCCUACGGGAGGCAGCAGUGGGGAAUCUUGGACAAUGGGCGCAAGCCUGAUCCAGCCAUGCCGCGUGAGUGAUGAAGGCCUUAGGGUCGUAAAGCUCUUUCGCCAGGGAUGAUAAUGACAGUACCUGGUAAAGAAACCCCGGCUAACUCCGU